This 478-nucleotide ribosomal RNA is filed under the name uncultured bacterium. RNAcentral describes it as "partial 16S ribosomal RNA". It matches the Rfam family "Bacterial small subunit ribosomal RNA", at positions 28 to 523 of the family's 1533-position model. The record is from RNAcentral.
GACGAACGCUGGCGGCGUGCUUAACACAUGCAAGUCGAACGGUAAGGCCCUUCGGGGUACACGAGUGGCGAACGGGUGAGUAACACGUGGGUGAUCUGCCCUGCACUUCGGGAUAAGCCUGGGAAACUGGGUCUAAUACCGGAUAGGACUCCGGACUGCAUGGUCUGGGGUGGAAAGCUUUUGCGGUGUGGGAUGGGCCCGCGGCCUAUCAGCUAGUUGGUGAGGUAAUGGCUCACCAAGGCGACGACGGGUAGCCGGCCUGGGAGGGUGACCGGCCACACUGGAACUGAGACACGGUCCAGACUCCUACGGGAGGCAGCAGUGGGGAAUAUUGCACAAUGGGCGAAAGCCUGAUGCAGCAACGCCGCGUGAGGGAUGAAGGCCUUCGGGUUGUAAACCUCUUUCAGCACCGACGAAGCGCAAGUGACGGUAGGUGCAGAAGAAGGACCGGCCAACUACGUGCCAGCAGCCGCGGUAA